GGUGAGCUACCCCGAGACAGCCUAUAUUAAUUUAGGGCUAACCCGUCUCUGUGGCAAAAGAGUGGGAAGAGCUCCGGGUAGAAGUGAAAGACCUACCGAACCUGGUGAUAGCUGGUUGACUGAGAAAUGGAUAGAAGUUCAGCCUCGCACACCCCAAACCAAAAAAUACUAUCACCAAGAUAUUAAGGGAAACGUACGAGAGUUAGUUAAAAGGGGUACAGCCCUUUUAACAAAGGAUACAACCUUUACAGGAGGAUAAAGAUCAUAAUGUAUAAGAUAUACUGUUCUAGUGGGCCUGAAAGCAGCCACCUAAACAGAAAGCGUUAAAGCUCGGACAGAAGGAAGUUUAUUAUACUGAUAAAAAAUCUUAUUCCCCUAGCUAUAUCAGACCAACCCAUGCCUCCAUGGAAGAGAUUAUGCUAAAAUGAGUAAUAAGAAGACCCGCUCUUCUCCCAGCACAAGUGUAAACCAGAUCGGACUGACCACUGGAACUUAACGAACCCAACCCCAGAGGGUAGUGUGAUUAACAAAAAACUCAAGAAGGCCUCACAUAACUAAUCGUUAACCCCACACUGGAGUGCUAUUUUAAGGGAAAGACUAAAAGAAGGGGAAGGAACUCGGCAAACACAAGCCUCGCCUGUUUACCAAAAACAUCGCCUCCUGCAACUAAACUGAGUAUAGGAGGUCCAGCCUGCCCAGUGACUACAGGUUCAACGGCCGCGGUAUCUUGACCGUGCAAAGGUAGCGCAAUCACUUGUCUCUUAAAUAGAGACCUGUAUGAAUGGCUAGACGAGGGCUUAACUGUCUCCCCCUUCCAGUCAGUGAAAUUGAUCUAUCCGUGCAGAAGCGGGUAUAAAUAUACAAGACGAGAAGACCCUUUGGAGCUUAAGGUACAAAAUUCAGCCACGUUAAACAACUCUAUAAGAAGCAAGAACUUAGUGAUAAUGAAAUUUUACCUUCGGUUGGGGCGACCGCGGAGGAAAAACAAGCCUCCGAGUGGACUGGGCCGAAUCCCUGAAGCCAAUAGAGACAUCUAUAAGCCGCAGAACAUCUGACCAAAAAUGAUCCGGCUAAAAGCCGAUCAACGAACCAAGUUACCCAAGGGAUAACAGCGCAAUCCCCUCCCAGAGCCCAUAUCUACGAGGGGGUUUACGACCUCGAUGUUGGAUCAGGACAUCCUAAUGGUGC
Molecule: ribosomal RNA, 1188 nt
Filed under: Rhynchocypris lagowskii (Amur minnow)
Lineage: Eukaryota; Metazoa; Chordata; Actinopteri; Cypriniformes; Leuciscidae
Description: partial 16S ribosomal RNA
Rfam family: Bacterial large subunit ribosomal RNA
Source: RNAcentral